GUGACUGGGAAUGAAGGUGCUCCAGCUUCCCCUCUGAGUUCCAGGACUGAAACUCCGGCAGAUCACAUGGAUAUGUCAUGGCUUUUUAGUUCCUUUGAGAGCUGCCAGCUCAAAGGCCAAAUGUCGGCCAGGUCUGUCUGCAGAAGUGCCCCCAGGGAGGGCCUUGCUGGUUUCUCGGCUCCUUCCUGCGAUGGAGACCAGUUGGAAUCCCAUGGGUCCGCAAAGAGGAAACAGAGGAAAGGAUACACCUAGAAGAGGGAAGUACUACUGGUGGUCAUCCCGUGUCCUAAAGGAACCUGUGAAGAAAAUGGAGAAGGCAGCGCAUGGUGGGACUAAAGGGACUGACCAAGAGACUGUGCAGAAGGAGCCAUUGCAGGAAAGCAGCAGUGACACACGGCCAGUCUCUGAUAGAAAAACACAGGCAGAACAAGCAGCUGGAUUGCCAGGGGUGGAUGUUGGGAAAAUCACAACGGCCGCUGUUGGCAAAGAGCUGCGAAAACACCACAUCCCAGUGAUUGCUGUGGUCUCCGCUGUGCUGCUGUCUGUGCUGAUGCUGGCCUGUGUUCCUAUGCUGUGGAUGUGGAAAAAAUAUCUGGCACGCAAGACAGAGCGGACAGCUGCAAGACAAGCUGACUGGGAGAGAGAUCAAAACAGAGAUGAAGGCAGAGCGGAGCUGGGGGAGGCUGCAAAGGAGGAUGUCCUCGACCAAGGAAAAAUCAUCUCCAGGGCAUUCUCCUGGUCCUUUGAAGCAGAAUUUGCUGACCUGUGCAACAGAAUCAGAGCAGACCCCUCCCUUCAGCCCACGCAUCCCAGCAGCUCUCCUACUGUCAACGUCUCUUCCCUCAGUAGCUGC
Molecule: long non-coding RNA, 853 nt
Filed under: Gallus gallus (chicken)
Lineage: Eukaryota; Metazoa; Chordata; Aves; Galliformes; Phasianidae
Description: lncRNA (ENSGALG00010019446.1)
Source: RNAcentral